RNAcentral lists this ribosomal RNA (391 nucleotides) under Salmonella enterica subsp. enterica serovar Enteritidis. RNAcentral describes it as "bacterial SSU rRNA". It matches the Rfam family "Bacterial small subunit ribosomal RNA", at positions 269 to 652 of the family's 1533-position model. Lineage: Bacteria; Pseudomonadati; Pseudomonadota; Gammaproteobacteria; Enterobacterales; Enterobacteriaceae. The record is from RNAcentral.
CAAGGCGACGAUCCCUAGCUGGUCUGAGAGGAUGACCAGCCACACUGGAACUGAGACACGGUCCAGACUCCUACGGGAGGCAGCAGUGGGGAAUAUUGCACAAUGGGCGCAAGCCUGAUGCAGCCAUGCCGCGUGUAUGAAGAAGGCCUUCGGGUUGUAAAGUACUUUCAGCGGGGAGGAAGGUGUUGUGGUUAAUAACCGCAGCAAUUGACGUUACCCGCAGAAGAAGCACCGGCUAACUCCGUGCCAGCAGCCGCGGUAAUACGGAGGGUGCAAGCGUUAAUCGGAAUUACUGGGCGUAAAGCGCACGCAGGCGGUCUGUCAAGUCGGAUGUGAAAUCCCCGGGCUCAACCUGGGAACUGCAUUCGAAACUGGCAGGCUUGAGUCUUGU